GACGAACGCUGGCGGCGUGCUUAACACAUGCGAGUCGAACGGAAAGGCCCUGCUUUUGUGGGGUGCUCGAGUGGCGAACGGGUGAGUAACACGUGAGUAUCCUGCCCUUGACUUUGGGAUAACUUCAGGAAACUGGGGAUAAUACCGGAUAGGAGCUCCUGCUGCAUGGGGGGGGUUGGAAAGUUUCGGCGGUUGGGGAUGGACUCGCGGCUUAUCAGCUUGUUGGUGGGGGAGUGGCUUACCAAGGCUUUGACGGGUGGCCGGCCUGGGAGGGUGACCGGCCACAUUGGGACUGAGGUACGGCCCAGACGCCUACGGGAGGCAGCAGUGGGAAAUAUUGCACAAUGGGCGGAAGCCUGAUGCAGCAACGCCGCGUUCGGGAUGCCGUCCUGCGGGUUGUAAACCGCUUUCGCCUGUGACGAAGCGUGAGUGACGGUAAUGGGUGAAGAAGCACCGGCUAACUACGUG
This 468-nucleotide ribosomal RNA is filed under the name uncultured bacterium. RNAcentral describes it as "partial 16S ribosomal RNA". It matches the Rfam family "Bacterial small subunit ribosomal RNA", at positions 28 to 507 of the family's 1533-position model. The record is from RNAcentral.